AAACGCUAACGGUGUGCUUAACACAUGCAAGUCGAACGGGCGAUACAGGAGUGGCAACACCUCUGUAAAGCUAGUGGCGAACGGGUGAGUAACGCGUAGGCAAUCUGCCUUGGAGAUUGGGACAACCAUUCGAAAGAAUGGCUAAUACCAAAUACCUUGUAUUAAUCACAUGAUUUUUAUAUAAAGGGGGCUUCGGCUCUCGCUUCAAGAUGAGCCUGCGUCCUAUUAGCUUGUUGGUGAGGUAACGGCUCACCAAGGCAACGAUGGGUAGCCGGCCUGAGAAGGUGAUCGGCCACAUUGGGACUGAGAUACGGCCCAGACUCCUACGGGAGGCAGCAGUGGGGAAUAUUGCGCAAUGGGCGAAAGCCUGACGCAGCGACACCGUGUGAAGGAUGAAGGCCUUCGGGUCGUAAACUUCUGUCAAUUGGGGACGAAGGUGCUAGAGUUAAUACCUUCUAGCAUUGACGGUACCCAAUAAGGAAGUCUCGGCUAACUCCGUG
This 500-nucleotide ribosomal RNA is filed under the name uncultured bacterium. RNAcentral's name for it is "bacterial SSU rRNA". It matches the Rfam family "Bacterial small subunit ribosomal RNA", at positions 32 to 507 of the family's 1533-position model. The record is from RNAcentral.